GGAUGCGAUCAUACCAGCACUAAAGCACCGGAUCCCAUCAGAACUCCGAAGUUAAGUGUGCUUGGGCGAGAGUAGUACUAGGAACAUGCGUACGUGUGCG
Molecule: ribosomal RNA, 100 nt
Filed under: Hordeum euclaston
Lineage: Eukaryota; Viridiplantae; Streptophyta; Magnoliopsida; Poales; Poaceae
Source: RNAcentral